This 503-nucleotide ribosomal RNA is filed under the name uncultured bacterium. Its description in RNAcentral is "bacterial SSU rRNA". It matches the Rfam family "Bacterial small subunit ribosomal RNA", at positions 29 to 526 of the family's 1533-position model. The record is from RNAcentral.
AACGAACGUUAGCGGCGCGCCUAAUACAUGCAAGUCGAGCGAGAAAGGGCUUCGGCCCCGGUAAAGCGGCGCACGGGUGAGUAACACGUAGGUAUCUGCCUUCGAGUGGUGGACAACCCUCCGAAAGGAGGGCUAAUACAGCAUAACGUCAGCAAUGACCAAAGCGGGCCUCUCCAUGGAAGCUCGCGCUUGAAGAUGAGCCUGCGGCCCAUCAGCUAGUUGGCGGGGUAACAGCCCACCAAGGCAAAGACGGGUAGCUGGUCUGAGAGGAUGAACAGCCACACUGGAACUGAGACACGGUCCAGACUCCUACGGGAGGCAGCAGUAGGGAAUCUUCCGCAAUGGGCGAAAGCCUGACGGAGCGACGCCGCGUGAGCGAUGAAGGCCUUCGGGUUGUAAAGCUCUGUGGGGAGAGAAGAAUAAGUGCAACUCAAUACGUUGCAUGAUGACGGUACCUCCUUAGCAAGCACCGGCUAACUCUGUGCCAGCCGCCGCCGUAAGAC